UAAACUAGGAUUAGAUACCCUAUUAUAAUUAAAUGUAAAGUUUAUUGGUUAAGGGAGUAAUAGUUAUGUUCUUGAAAUUUAAAAAAUUUGGCGGUAUUUCAGUCUUUUUAGAGGAACCUGUUUCGUUAUUGAUAGUCCACGAUUAAUCGUACUUGUUUUAAAAGUUUGUAUAUCGUCGUAGUUGAAUAUCUCAGGAGAGAUAAAUAUUCUUGAUUUAUUUUAUAAAGGAAAGCAGAUCAAGGUGCAGCUUAUAGAUAAGAGUAUAAUGGGUUACAAUAAAUUUAUUUAUACGGUUGAUACAAUUAAAAUUGUAUUUUAAGGCGGAUUUAAAAGUAAUAUGAUUGAAUUAAUUUAUAUGAUUAUUAGCUCUGAAAUAUGCACAUAUUGCCCGUCGCUUUCAUGUUAAUGAAAUAAGUCGUAACAAAGUAAGUGUACUGGAAAGUGUACUUAGAGUGACAAGUUGGAGCUAAAGCAUUUUAUUUACAUUAAAAAGUUAACUGUUGAUUCAGUUCAGUUUGAGUUUAUUAAUUUAUUUUUUUUUUUAAAAAAAAAUUAUUUUGGAUAAUAAAUUUUUUUGAUAAAUUUUUUUUAUUUAAAGUAAAUAAAAAAAGGGGGGGAGGGUUAAAAAAUUUUAAAAAAAUGGAAUUUUUUAAAAAAAAAAUUAAUUUUUUGUCCCUGUGUAUCAGGGUUUAUUAAAUAAAGUUUAUUUAUAUUUAUUUUCUCGAAUUAAAAAGAGCUAAAAGGAAAUAUAUUUUAUUGUUAAAUUAAUAUUUAUAAUUUCUUUUUAGUAAUGAAACGUUAUUCGUUUUUUAAUAUAUCUAGUUUUUUAAGAAAUAAAUUUAAUUUAGUUGUUUUUUUUAAUUGUUUUUAAUUUAAAAAUUUUUUAAUUGAACCGUAAAUGUUUUAGGGGAUGAGCUCUGAAUCAAAUUGUUAUAAAGAGAAGGGUUGUAUAAAAUUUUAUAGAAUUAAUAAUUUUUAUUUAUAAAGUGUUAUAAUUAAUUUUUAAUGUUAUUUUAAUUUUUAUUUUUUUUAACUUUUUUAUUAAAACUAUUUAUUUAAUUUUUUAUUAGAUAUGAUAAUGAUAAAAUUAGUAUAAUUUUUGUAAAGAUAAUUUUUAAUUUUAAGGUUACUUUAAGGAACUCGGCAAAUAUAUUUUCCGCCUGUUUAUUAAAAACAUGUCUUUUUGAUUAUAAUUUAAAGUCUAAUCUGCCCAAUGAAUUAUUGAAUGGCUGCGGUAUUUUGACCGUACAAAGGUAGCAUAAUAAUUAGUUUUUUAAUUGGAAACUGGUAUGAACGAUUGGACGAGAAAAUUUCUGUCUCGAUUUAAUUUAAUUAGAAUUUUAUUUUUAAGUUAAAAAGCUUAAAUUUUAUUAAAAGACGAGAAGACCCUAUAGAGUUUAAUAUUAAUAAUAUUGAAAUAUUUUUUGGUAUCAUUAGGAUUUUAUUUUUUUUAGUAUUUUGUUGGGGUGACAGGAAAAUUUGAUUAACUUUUCUUUUUUUUUUACAUUGAUUUAUGAUUUUUUGAUCCUUUAUUUUUGAUUAUAAGAUAAAAUUACCUUAGGGAUAACAGCGUAAUUUUUUUUGAAAGUUCUUAUUGAAAAAAAAGUUUGCGACCUCGAUGUUGGAUUAAAAUAGGAGUUUGGUGCAGUAAUCAUUCUUCUGGGUCUGUUCGACCUUUGAAAUUUUACAUGAUCUGAGUUCAAAACCGGAGA
This 1712-nucleotide ribosomal RNA is filed under the name Airapus sp. NLG-2014. RNAcentral's name for it is "partial 16S ribosomal RNA". The record is from RNAcentral. Lineage: Eukaryota; Metazoa; Arthropoda; Insecta; Coleoptera; Scarabaeidae.